Molecule: non-coding RNA, 94 nt
Organism: Gossypium raimondii (Peruvian cotton)
Lineage: Eukaryota; Viridiplantae; Streptophyta; Magnoliopsida; Malvales; Malvaceae
Source: Rfam
GUUGCGGGGAAUGCUGACUGGUUCGAGACCAUUCAUUCAUAUGGACCUUAAAUGUGUUUUGAAUGAUUUCGGACCAGGCUUCAUUCCCCUCAAC